AAAACGACUCUCGGCAACGGAUAUCUCGGCUCUCGCAUCGAUGAAGAACGUAGCGAAAUGCGAUAGUUGGUGUGAAUUGCAGAAUCCCGUGAACCAUCGAGUCUUUGAACGCAAGUUGCGCCCGAAGCCUUCCGGCCGAGGGCACGCCUGCCUGGGUGUCAUGC
This 164-nucleotide ribosomal RNA is filed under the name Turnera chamaedrifolia. RNAcentral's name for it is "5.8S ribosomal RNA". It matches the Rfam family "5.8S ribosomal RNA". Rfam says of the family: 5.8S ribosomal RNA (5.8S rRNA) is a component of the large subunit of the eukaryotic ribosome. Lineage: Eukaryota; Viridiplantae; Streptophyta; Magnoliopsida; Malpighiales; Passifloraceae. RNAcentral also lists the same sequence under 1 other name. The record is from RNAcentral.